This 159-nucleotide ribosomal RNA is filed under the name uncultured bacterium. Its description in RNAcentral is "partial 16S ribosomal RNA". It matches the Rfam family "Bacterial small subunit ribosomal RNA", at positions 1342 to 1500 of the family's 1533-position model. The record is from RNAcentral.
UCGCGGAUCAGCAUGCCGCGGUGAAUACGUUCCCGGGCCUUGUACACACCGCCCGUCACACCAUGGGAGUCGGUAACACCCGAAGCCUGUAGUCUAACCGCAAGGAGGACGCAGUCGAAGGUGGGAUUGAUGACUGGGGUGAAGUCGUAACAAGGUACC